CCUUCAUACUCUGAGGCUGCACACGUUGUUCACAAUAAUCAGUCAGAAUGAGUUACUUAAUCAGAUUACUCGCUCGUGAGUAAAUAAGAUGAUUUACAAGGAAAGCCAAGAGGUUUUCUGGUGAAAAAGGGGCUCUCAUUUUUCACGGAGCAGGCUGGGCAGGGUGAGGAGCCCGCUCUCCUCUGCCGCUCCCGGGGCACUGCGGGCAGGGCAGAGCGGCUGCGGGGCAGGCUGGUGCCACUUUAAGAGCACCAGUGGGAGGUGGUGGAGGCACCGCCGUACAAGCAAGGGCCGGGGCUCCUGCAGCGCUGCCCUGGGGCUCGCACAGCCCGCCCUGCCCGCCCUGGCCAGGCGGAGCCGCCGGCCCGGCAGCGCAGGAUGUGCGCCCGAGCGGAGCGGCGGCAGCCCGGGGGCAGCGCAGCCCGGGGGCACUGAGCAGCUUCAGACCCCUGAGAUGGAGGAAAUCAUGGUGGAAACAAUCCUGGCCCCGUGGGAAAUCCUGCUGGUCAUUUUUGCUGCAGUGCUGGUGAUGAGUUUCCUGAUGCUGCUGCCCCCAGCUGCGGUGCUGAUCUGGAGGAUGAGGCGUGCGCCGCAGAUCUCUCUGCAGGGCUCCGUGUGAGCCAGCCCCGCUCCCACCGCUGCCCCGGGAGGAUGGCUCACCCUGAGAACACCUCUCAGGGUCACUCUCACUACCUGUGGUCCCCCCCAGAGCAGUGGGUCUGCCCAUCUGUUGCUGCUAAGUUCCUGUGAGAAGAGAACGUGUGUGAUUUUUGUGGCCAUGAGCUGCAGCUCUCCACACUUUGCCUUGGGUGUUCUGGCUGGGCUGUAAUUACUGCUGUUGGCUCAGCUCCUGCACUCACUGAGUUCUUCUCUGGUGUUAUAAUGGACUGAAAGAGAAGGAUAAUGCAGCACUGUAUUCCCUUAAUUAAUAUCAGGAAAGCCUCCCUCUCUAUAGUUACACUGUAAAUAUUACCAAAGCCUUUAGCUGACUGACACUUAUGCAGGUGGAUUUAUCCAAAGCAUGCAGGAUACUCUGGGGAGGCAGUGGUUUAGUCUGGUUGUAUUGCAAAACCUAAAAAAAAAAUAAAAUUUCAGAGAAUACUUCAAGA
Molecule: long non-coding RNA, 1109 nt
Organism: Haemorhous mexicanus (house finch)
Lineage: Eukaryota; Metazoa; Chordata; Aves; Passeriformes; Fringillidae
Exons: 2
Source: RefSeq, a predicted model, not a curated record